This 255-nucleotide ribosomal RNA is filed under the name uncultured bacterium. Its description in RNAcentral is "partial 16S ribosomal RNA". It matches the Rfam family "Bacterial small subunit ribosomal RNA", at positions 524 to 776 of the family's 1533-position model. The record is from RNAcentral.
UACAGAGGUCCCAAGCGUUGUUCGGAUUCAUUGGGCGUAAAGGGUGUGUAGGUGGCGCCGUAAGUCGGGUGUGAAAUUUCGGAGCUUAACUCCGAAACUGCAUUCGAUAACUGCGGUGGCUUGAGGACUGGAGAGGAGACUGGAAUUCAUGGUGUAGCAGUGAAAUGCGUAGAGAUCAUGAGGAAUACCAGAGGCGAAGGCGGCUACCUGGACAAUUGCUGACGCUCAGGCACGAAAGCGUGGGGAGCAAAAGGG